UGAAUGGAAAUUUAGGCAUAUUUUCCGAGGUAGGUAUUGGCGUUUUUGUGAAUCACUAGUAUUCUGACGUAGUCUUCUUUUAUUUUUAUCUGUUUUUAUAAAUUGUUUUAAUAUGUAACUGUUAUUAAAAUAUCAAUAUGACCACAUCAUUUUUAAUUUGUGGCUCCAAGUAGAAUUUCAAUAAUUAUUCCAUUGCCUUAAAGUGGUGUUGCAAUUGGCACUGAAAAGACCAUCUGUAUUUGGGCAAAAUAAGAAUGUUUGUCUGUUUUAUCUCUUAUUUGGUGUGAUCAAUUGCAUAUGGCCUUCGACAUCUGGGAAAUUACGUUUGUCAAUUGUGCAAGGCAGUUUGGCUCAUCUCUUCUAUUGGAAGAGCACAUCUUUCUUGUCAGGUUAUCACAUUUGUGUGUAUGUGUUUUGGUGGGGUGCAUCCAUUACAGAUCCAUUGCAUGCAUAUUGGUUUCACUGGUUCAUGUGAUAUAAGAUUACUUAUAUUAUUCCUUUGAUUUCCUCUCCCUCUCUCCCCUUUCCCCUCCUAAUAUAGAAUCUAAAUAUUCUUCAUGGAAAUAUUUUACAGAAUCCUUUGCAGCCAGUUAUAUUGUUUCCACAUAAGCUUUACAUUUUUUUUUUUGGGGUGAGGUGGGGGGUGGGGUUGGGGUUACAUGAGCCUUUACAUUUUGUUUAGUGGUUGCUGCUCAUUUCUGCGGCUUGCAUUAGGCAAAAUAUCUAGUACUACUAGGUGAUUGAAUUUUUCCUUGACUCUAGGAAAUCAGUAUAACUUUUUUCUUGAGAUUGGACUUUAGGUAGGAUUUUGCAUAGGCUCGUUGAGUCAGAUAUGCAGUAUACCAUCUUUUUUCAUCUGAACUGAAAGUGUUGCAUGUUGUGAAAUUGAUGCCAAUUUAGAGUUGUCAAAAGUCAAAGGUAAUUUUGAAGAGUUGGAUUUGGUUGGUAAGAUCUGAAAAGAACUGGCAUUGGAAGCUAACACAGGUCAGUUCUUCUCAAUAUUCACUAACUUUGUAAGCAGUAAUAAAAAAAUAGACUGAAAAAUCUAAAGCCAUUGCUGGAUUGCUACUAAAAGGCAAGGAUAGUCUGCCAAAAAAGCUGUUAUGGAUGGGCAACUAGCUGGAUGAUCAUUUACUGAAAGUAAUUUGUUAUUGAUUUGCUUUAUAUCUGUGUUUCAAAAUGAUAUGUUGUACUUCUAUUUUGUGGAACCUUAAAUGGUUUAUGUGGAUGAUAGCCCUAAAAUAGGAAGGGAAAUUAGCUUUUUGUCGUAUCCCCAAAAUGUUUAACCCCCCAAAAGAAUCUAGAGUCUGUAGUGAUGAUGAUAUGUUUCCAUCUUGCAAGCUGCAGUAGUUGACUUGUGAAAAUUGAUAUCUUUUGGUUUUUUUUCUAGGGUGCUAGAAUAAGCUAGGAUUAUUUGCCGCACAACCCGUAUGCCUAAAAUGUUUCUGGAUCAUGUUAGUAACUGUAUGUAACCAUGAGAGCCUAAGUGUUAUUGUGAGAGGCACAUGCCACAUGUGAAAUCAUUAUUGCAUGUUAAGUCAGGUAUUUUAAUAUUUAAGCUAAUGAUAUGAGGUGCAGUAAGAUGAGCUCAGUUUUGCAAUGCUGUCACUGGUUGAGUCGUGGGAGGUGGAGAUGGGUCAAAAUAACUUUUGGACUGCUAAAAGGGAGUUUAGUAGAAGGUGCUUCUCAUGAUUUUUUGAAUUGACAGUUUUAGAUGUUGCUGUAUGAGUUUUGAGAUGUUCCUUCAAGGAUUGACUUGCUUUUGUCUACUACUUUGUCUGUUGUAAAUGUCUGAGGGUUAGGGGAAAAUAUGACCUUCUCAGCUUUGUUCUAGUAGUAUCUAAUGAUUCAUUUGUAUUCAUAACUGGUUAUAUCGCUUCAUGCAUGUGCUAGGAUGGUUGUCUUAAAUUUUUUUUAGCAAUGAUUUUCAUGGCUAGCUGACAUCUUCUAUUCCUUGCUCAUACUGCAGGCCAGCCCAAACGGCAUCUGCUUACUACAGGGUGGAGUAUUUUUGUGAGUCAAAAGAAUCUUGUUUCAGGGGAUGCGGUGCUAUUUCUAAGGGGUGAAGAUGGGGAGCUGAGAUUGGGGAUUAGAAGAGCUGUUCGACCAAGAAAUGGUCUUCCUGAUUCAGUUGUUGGCAAACAGAAUUCCUAUCCCAGUGUUCUUUCUCUAGUGGCUAAUGCAAUUUCCACCAAAAGCAUGUUUAAUGUUUUGUACAGUCCAAGGGCCAGUCAUGCAGAGUUUGUAGUACCCUACAAAAAGUAUAUGAAAAGCAUCAUGAAUCCAGUGUGCAUUGGGACAAGAUUCAAAAUGAGAUUUGAAAUGGAUGAUUCUCCAGAAAGAAGGUGCAGUGGUGUUGUCACUGGAAUGAGUGACUUGGAUCCUUAUAGAUGGCCUAACUCAAAAUGGAGGUGCUUAAUGGUGAGGUGGGAUGAAGAUGUUGUUAGUGAUCAUCAAGAACGAGUUUCUCUAUGGGAGAUUGAUCCUUCUGUUUCACUCCCACCCUUGAGCAUUCAAUCUUCCCCAAGGCUGAAGAAACUGCGGACUGGUCUGCCAGCAAACCCACCUGAUAACCCCAUAACUGGAGGGGGUGGUUUUUUAGACUUUGAGGAGUCUGGAAGAUCCUCUAAGGUCUUGCAAGGUCAAGAAAAUGUAGGUUUUGUGUCACCCUUAUAUGGACAUGACACGUUAAACCGCCCACCAGAUUUUGAGAUGCAAAACUCAGCGCAUCAAAAUCUUGUGUCAACUGGAAGAGAUAAGGCUAAUAUUAGCGAGAUAACAAGGGCUCGCUCAACCACUUACACAGGCUUUGCGGAAUCUAAUAGGUUUCCGAAGGUCUUGCAAGGUCAAGAAAUAAUUCCAAGAUCACCAUUUAGAAGAUCCCCAACUUCUAAUGAUGUCUCUGAAAAUGGUUGCUUUGGAAUAUCUGAUGGUGUUCAAAUGACAAGCUCAAGAAAUGGAUGGUCUGCCAUGAUGCAGGGUUAUAAUACUCAUAUGCGCCCACCCACACAGGUGUCUUCCCCUUCAUCAGUGUUAAUGUUCCAGCAAGCAUGCAACCCAAUUUCAAACCCAAGUCCUGCUUUCAAUUUAAGUGAUCACGAGGAGCAAGGCAUUGGCAUUCAAAGUUGGUUUCGUAAUUCUGAAACAUGUGAUGGAAAGCGCAUGUCCUCACAUUCUGAGCAUAUUUGCAGAAGGGAUGAUCAGUGGGGCAUCAGUUCGUUUGGUGUGUCUCGUGACCAUAUUCAACAUGGCAUAGCUCAAUCAACAUUUAGGGGUGGUCAUGAUAUAGUGACUUCAUGUAAAAGCAGCUGCAGACUAUUUGGUUUCCAGUUGACUGAGGAUAGGCAUGUUGCUAAUAAGGAUGAUGAUGUCUCCAUUCCUGCGACAUCUCUGAAGCCUGGGUCUUCCUUUCUGCCUCAUGUUGGUGAGCAGUUCCAUCUGAAGCCUCCAGCAAUAACCAAUGCUGUUGGUAGCAAUUGUACUAAAGUAAGCCCCUAUACUGAAAGUGAUAAGCUUUUUGAUAUUUCUUUGUGCUGCACAAGUAUUGGAUAGGAACUGUGCAGGAGUGCUGUAGGCAUGACAAUUGAUUUUUCUAUAUGUAAUAGGUGCAUCGAUAUGAUUAGCGAAUUGGAUCAUUCAUUAGGAUUUUGAAGGCAGUUUCGUGGAUGUAAGGUAGUUUAUUAGGUUCGAGAUGAUAAUUAGAAGUAGGCACCUGCGCCCAACAAUUCACCUGCAAUUUUCAAUGCUGGCCUAUUUGUGUAGCAUUUUGCAUAUGAACCUUGAACUUGAAAUCUUCGUUCACAACUCUUUGCUGUGUGAUUGACAUAGCUUGUUUUAUUGUAUUUCACUGAAAACCCUGUAAUCCAUUUUUAAUGGUAUUUAAUCAUUUGUUUUUGAGUCUAGCUCAGAAUGAGCAUAUAUUUCUAGUUCUCAUUGAUUUUAUAUCACUGAAGUCGUUGAUGUUUGUUUUGCAGGGGAUUCUGCAACAGCAUCCUGAAAAUUAUCAUAUAUACUAACAAGCUAGUGGUCGCACCUGAGGCUGCAGAAGAGAAUGCCUACGGUUGCAUGGAUAAUACACAUUUAGCUACUUGUGAUGAAAAGAAAAAUGUAAUUAAUCUCUUUAAGUUAACCCUCUAACUCCCCUGGCUAUGCCAAAAAGCUUUUUGUACUUGGAUUCACAGUGACGGAUACUUGCUCAACAUGGAAUUGUCAUAUUUUGUUAGUGGAAUUGAUGAUAUAUUGUCUGGUGCUAGCCCGCCAAUGCUGAAAUAUAUAAAUUAUUAAAUAUAAUAUUGAUAAUAUGUUAAUACUGUGUUCCUUUGUAC
RNAcentral lists this unclassified non-coding RNA (4325 nucleotides) under Hevea brasiliensis (rubber tree). Lineage: Eukaryota; Viridiplantae; Streptophyta; Magnoliopsida; Malpighiales; Euphorbiaceae. The record is from RNAcentral.